CCGUCAAUUCCUUUAAGUUUUUGUCUGUUGCCGCCCCCGCCCCCCUACGGGAGGCAGCAGUGGGGAAUUUUCCGCAAUGGGCGCAAGCCUGACGGAGCAAGACCGCGUGGGGGAGGAAGGCUCUUGGGUUGUAAACCCCUUUUCUCUGGGAAGAACAAAAUGACGGUACCAGAGGAAUCAGCAUCGGCUAACUCCGUGCCAGCAGCCGCGGUAAGACGGAGGAUGCAAGCGUUAUCCGGAAUGAUUGGGCGUAAAGCGUCCGCAGGUGGCAGUUCAAGUCUGCUGUCAAAGACCGGGGCUUAACUUCGGACAGGCAGUGGAAACUGAACAGCUAGAGUAUGGUAGGGGCAAAGGGAAUUCCUGGUGUAGCGGUGAAAUGCGUAGAGAUCAGGAAGAACAUCGGUGGCGAAAGCGCUUUGCUGGACCAUAACUGACACUCAGGGACGAAAGCUAGGGGAGCGAAUGGGAUUAGAUACCCCAGUAGUCCUAGCCGUAAACGAUGGAUACUAGGUGUUGUCUGUAUCGACCCGGACAGUGCCGUAGCUAACGCGUUAAGUAUCCCGCCUGG
RNAcentral lists this ribosomal RNA (568 nucleotides) under uncultured bacterium. Its description in RNAcentral is "bacterial SSU rRNA". It matches the Rfam family "Bacterial small subunit ribosomal RNA", at positions 319 to 876 of the family's 1533-position model. The record is from RNAcentral.